RNAcentral lists this ribosomal RNA (478 nucleotides) under uncultured bacterium. Its description in RNAcentral is "partial 16S ribosomal RNA". It matches the Rfam family "Bacterial small subunit ribosomal RNA", at positions 28 to 523 of the family's 1533-position model. The record is from RNAcentral.
GACGAACGCUGGCGGCGUGCUUAACACAUGCAAGUCGAACGGUAAGGCCCUUUGGGGUACACAAGUGGCGAACGGGUGAGUAACACGUGGGUGAUCUGCCCUGCACUUCGGGAUAAGCCUGGGAAACUGGGUCUAAUACCGGAUAGGACCACUGCCUGCAUGGGUGGUGGUGGAAAGCUUUUGCGGUGUGGGAUGGGCCCGCGGCCUAUCAGCUUGUUGGUGGGGUGAUGGCCUACCAAGGCGACGACGGGUAGCCGGCCCGAGAGGGUGACCGGCCACACUGGGACUGAGAUACGGCCCAGACUCCUACGGGAGGCAGCAGUGGGGAAUAUUGCACAAUGGGCGCAAGCCUGAUGCAGCGACGCCGCGUGAGGGAUGACGGCCUUCGGGUUGUAAACCUCUUUCAGCACCGACGAAGCGCAAGUGACGGUAGGUGCAGAAGAAGGACCGGCCAACUACGUGCCAGCCGCCGCAGUAA